This is a long non-coding RNA of Spinacia oleracea (spinach), 882 nucleotides long. RefSeq lists it as uncharacterized. The record is from RefSeq and is a predicted model, not a curated record. The transcript is spliced from 3 exons. NCBI's taxonomy places the organism in Eukaryota, Viridiplantae, Streptophyta, Magnoliopsida, Caryophyllales, Amaranthaceae.
AAAUCGAAAAUGAUUUUAGAAUUUUAAGUUGAAAAUAAUUUGAAUUACGAAAAUUGAUUGAAUUUAGAAAACGAUCCUAUUCGGUUUUGGAUUCAAAUCCUAAAGCUAAAUUCCUAAGUCUAGCCCAAUUGGACAAAGCCCAAUAUUAUAAACCCAUAACCCCAAACUACCCUACUCCCUUCUCUUUCAACAAUACGUAAAACAAAAAAAAAAUAAACAACCAAACUCCCUCCUUCAAUCUCACGUAAAAAGCAAACCCUCAAGAACUCCUCCUCCCUCACGUUGCCUCCAAGCUCAGCCGCCACCACCGCCGGACCAGUCGCCGCCGCCCGCCGCCGUACUCGCCGCCAGCACAGCCACCUUGCCGUCGCCAGACGGCGACCUUUGUACGCCAACCACCACCACCGGUGCGCCGUCGUGCCCCUCCUUGCCGUCGUUCCACCGCUGCCGCGCCUGUGCUCCGCCGGCCAGCAUCUCCUUGAAUCCUUCUUGGUUAUUUCUUAAACCCUAAGUAAACUAAUUAUUUUAAUUAUAUUUUGUUAAUUUGAUUUAUGCUUUGAUUUAAUAAAUUUGUAAUUUUUAUGACUUAAUUGGAAUUUCAGAUUUAUAUAUUAUGUUUAAACAAUAUAUUUAUUUUUCAGAUUAUCUAAAUACAUUGAAAUAUUGAUUUUUGAUUAUUUAAAGUAUGAAUUUCAAGGUUUAAAUGGUUGUAAAUCAUGGUAGGACAAUGGUGGAUUAUUGAAUUUAUUGUCUCGAUGUACUAGGAAUGUAAAUUGGCCUUGGUGAAGUUUUAAACGAGUUUAUAUUGCUGAAAAUUUAAAGUACGAUGUUUGCAAAGAGUUUUCAACGAAUUUCAAUCACUAAUUCGAUAUAUAUGAUGCU